Long non-coding RNA from Entelurus aequoreus (snake pipefish), 687 nucleotides. RefSeq lists it as uncharacterized. The transcript has 2 exons. The record is from RefSeq and is a predicted model, not a curated record. Lineage: Eukaryota; Metazoa; Chordata; Actinopteri; Syngnathiformes; Syngnathidae.
UAAUAUUCAUUUUUGUCUCACUACUUUUAGAUUGUUCCGUGUCAUGUUUGUGUCUCCUCAAUUGUGUUACGGCGCACGCCCAGUCUGCUUCUCCCUCCUCAGCAGCAGCACUUAGAGGCUCUGCUGCAAGCACCGCAGGACACGCCCCCACACGCCUCCACAGCUGGAGGCAAUCCUCAAUCAACACACCUGGUCUUGACGAGAGGCAGCAGCAUAAAGGCUCACUCCGCUGACUACUCCACGCCGGAACGUAGCUCUGAUUCAUACCUCCGUGUCUCCGCAGUGAGCUGUGCGCCUCACCUGCCGAUCUUCCCCCUGGACUCUGACUGCCUUCCUCGACCUUCGACCCCUCGCUUGGAUCCCAAACCUCUUUUGCUUCGCCCAUUCCGGACUUGUUGCUGCCACAACCAACACGCACUUACAACAACCACUGGUAACUUAUAUUUGGUUAACUUCCACACAUAGCCCUCCAUACACACACAUAGUAGCAUACACACCCUACGUAAUCAUCAAGCUCAAAUAAAACCUGUUGAGCUAGACCUCCUGUUGUCGUGCCGUCUCCUUCCCCUUGUCGUAUGUAACAAAUUGCUCUCAAUUGCUCUGUUUAUUGCUAUUCUGAAUGUUGCUGGGUCGGGUUUUGUUUUGAAAUUGUAUUGCAUUAUUAUGGUAUUGUUGUGUAUUUCAUUU